UACGGAGGGAGCUAGCGUUGUUCGGAUAUACUGGGCGUAAAGCGCACGUAGGCGGCGUCGUAAGGCAGGGGCGAAAUCCCGGAGCUCAACUCCGGAACUGCCCUUGAAACUGCAAUGCUAGAAUCUUGGAGAGGCGAGUGGAAUUCCGAGUGUAGAGGUGAAAUUCGUAGAUAUUCGGAAGAACACCAGUGGCGAAGGCGACUCGCUGGACAAGUAUUGACGCUGAGGUGCGAAAGCGUGGGGAGCAAACAGG
This 253-nucleotide ribosomal RNA is filed under the name uncultured bacterium. RNAcentral's name for it is "partial 16S ribosomal RNA". It matches the Rfam family "Bacterial small subunit ribosomal RNA", at positions 524 to 776 of the family's 1533-position model. The record is from RNAcentral.